UGUCGAAAUCGCAUGCUCCGGCCGCCAUGGCGGCCGCGGGAAUUCGAUUAGGUAACCGUAGAGUUGAUCCUGGCUCAGAUUGAACGCUGGCGGCAGGCCUAACACAUGCAAGUCGUAACAAGGUAACCGUAAAUCACUAGUGAAUUCGCGGCCGCCU
RNAcentral lists this ribosomal RNA (157 nucleotides) under uncultured Pseudomonas sp. RNAcentral describes it as "partial 16S ribosomal RNA". The record is from RNAcentral. Lineage: Bacteria; Pseudomonadati; Pseudomonadota; Gammaproteobacteria; Pseudomonadales; Pseudomonadaceae.